AUUUACAUUCCUACAACUUAGCGUUAAUGCACCAGAUCCCAUUAGAACUUCACAGUUAAGUGCGCUUGGUAUAUAGUAAUACUAGGAUGGGUGACAACCCAGGAAGUCCUAGUAUUUUACAUG
Picea glauca (white spruce) is the source of this 123-nucleotide non-coding RNA. NCBI's taxonomy places the organism in Eukaryota, Viridiplantae, Streptophyta, Pinopsida, Pinales, Pinaceae. The record is from Rfam.